RNAcentral lists this ribosomal RNA (253 nucleotides) under uncultured bacterium. RNAcentral's name for it is "partial 16S ribosomal RNA". It matches the Rfam family "Bacterial small subunit ribosomal RNA", at positions 524 to 776 of the family's 1533-position model. The record is from RNAcentral.
UACGGAGGUGGCAAGCGUUGUCCGGAAUUAUUGGGCGUAAAGCGCGCGCAGGUGGUUUCUUAAGUCUGAUGUGAAAGCCCACGGCUCAACCGUGGAGGGUCAUUGGAAACUGGGGAACUUGAGUGCAGGAGAGAAGAGUGGAAUUCCACGUGUAGCGGUGAAAUGCGUAGAGAUGUGGAGGAACACCAGUGGCGAAGGCGACUCUUUGGCCUGUAACUGACACUGAGGCGCGAAAGCGUGGGGAGCAAACAGG